Astatotilapia calliptera (eastern happy) is the source of this 1590-nucleotide long non-coding RNA. The record is from Ensembl. Lineage: Eukaryota; Metazoa; Chordata; Actinopteri; Cichliformes; Cichlidae.
CUUUCCCCAGUGGUAAAAGCCUUUAUGCUAAGCUAAUCUAACUUCCACCUGGCUUCAGAUCCACUCUUAGAGCACAGACACGAGUGGUGAGUAAGUUUUCCUCUAACUCCUGGAAAGAAGUCAGAUUUUUUUUUUCCAGGUUCAUUCUAUUUUUUCUAACUCCUAUUUAUUUAGUGAGACGUUAGAGGUGCAUAGGCCCAGAAUAACUUACAAAGACAUAUAAAUGUUUAAAUCUAUUUGCAUCUUUUUCCACAGACACAGAACUCAGUAUCAAAGAGUGAAUUUGAAUCCUGCCACAGAAGAGCCAUAUAUUAUCAAGAUAAAUAUAACAUGUGUGCUACUUUAUUUUGGGGGUCUCUGUCUAAAUUUCACUGAGCUGAAUCUAGUGCACAGUCUCGGGAAGGUUGUGCCAGAUGUCUCAUCUCACUCUUAGCUCAAGUGUCCCACAUACAGUGUGAGAGAAUUGCUGGUUACACUGCUCUUAGGACUGGCAGAGAAGCAGCAGGUUAGAAAAAAACACCUCCCAGGAGAAAUGAUUCAAGGUAUUGGAGAGCCACAAAGGUGAAUAAAGUGAAUGCAAUUUCAAAGGGGAAAUAAUGGAGGUCAUGGUGUUUGAUGUUCCUAUGCUGGUCACGAAAAUAACUUGGUUGAUGAUGGAAUCAAUCACACCUACACGGGAGUGAAUGUUAAUGAAGAUAUGUUUAGUAGUUGUUGUUUUUUUAAUUCUUCUUCUUUUCUUUUUUUUUUUUUUUUUGCAUUUUUAAUAAACAACGUUAACAUCAAGCCUAGACAUUGCUCCGUUGCUCCAGACAGAAUGAAGCGCCGUUAUCGGCAGCCAUGACUGAAGCAAUAAUAUUUGAAAUGUGACGGGUGUUUCUUUUUUUCUUUUUUUUAAAUGCUGUUCUUCUCCUGUGUUUUUGUUGAGAUGAGUGAACACAAGGUCAAAAUGGAGUUUAUCCUCUGAUAUCACCUGCCAGUCCAGACAAGAGAAGUGCUCACUCAAGGUGACAUUACUUUGGUGUCUGUACUCAGCAUGCCACUACAUCUUUCAUUUCCUGUGAGCUAAAAUUUACAACUUAUCCUUUGACAGGAGGAGUAAACAUCUCUAAUAUGACCCAGGCUGUGAUCUUCCUCGGUAAACAAAAGAAAACCUGCCUCAGCCUCUGUGAUCUCUGAGAAUCCAAAGCAAAACAAUAAACAAACCGCUUUUUUGUUUUUAUAUAUUUUGAAUAUGAGCCUAAAGCCCUUGAAAAAUGAAUCGUAAGUAUUCAAAUUCAGCAUGCAACACUGCAGUGCAUUUAUUGUAAGAUUAGUGGUUUUGACAGUGACUACAUUCGGUAUUCUGUGUGGGAUUAAGGUGAGAGCCAUGAAACGAACAGCGCUUACAUAAUUAGAUUGAUAAUAGAUAGCUACAAUAGGGGAGUGAUUUGGAAGAGCUCAUAACAUAUUCUUAUUCUUUCUGCUGUGGCACUUCAUAUUAGGCUUGGAAAGUUAUUUAGUAUGCAAUGGAUCAAUCACCAUCCUCAAAAGUCAUUUAAAUUAACUUCUUGGGCAGAUAUCUAUCCUGCAAAGUGGCCGACAGAGGCAAGG